This 710-nucleotide ribosomal RNA is filed under the name uncultured bacterium. RNAcentral's name for it is "bacterial SSU rRNA". It matches the Rfam family "Bacterial small subunit ribosomal RNA", at positions 60 to 777 of the family's 1533-position model. The record is from RNAcentral.
AGUCGAACGGACUUAAUCGAUUCUUUUAGAUUCGAAGCGGUUAGUGGCGGACUGGUGAGUAACACGUAAGCAACCUGCCUGUUAGAGGGGAAUAACAGUGAGAAAUCACUGCUAAAACCGCAUAUGCCGUGAACAUCGCAUGAUGAAAACGGGAAAAGAGCAAUCUGCUAAUAGAUGGGCUUGCGUCUGAUUAGCUAGUUGGUGUGGUAAAGGCAUACCAAGGCAACGAUCAGUAGCCGGACUGAGAGGCUGAACGGCCACAUUGGGACUGAGAUACGGCCCAGACUCCUACGGGAGGCAGCAGUCGGGAAUAUUGCGCAAUGGAGGAAACUCUGACGCAGUGACGCCGCGUAUGGGAAGAAGGUUUUCGGAUUGUAAACCAUUUUAGACAAGGAAGAAACAAGACAGUACUUGUAGAAUAAGCUCCGGCUAACUACGUGCCAGCAGCCGCGGUAAUACGUAGGGAGCAAGCGUUAUCCGGAUUUAUUGGGUGUAAAGGGUGCGUAGACGGGAAGGUAAGUUAGUUGUGAAAUCCCUCGGCUCAACUGAGGAACUGCGACUAAAACUGCUUUUCUUGAGUGCUGGAGAGGAAAGUGGAAUUCCUAGUGUAGCGGUGAAAUGCGUAGAUAUUAGGAGGAACACCAGUGGCGAAGGCGACUUUCUGGACAGUAACUGACGUUGAGGCACGAAAGUGUGGGGAGCAAACAGGA